CUACGUAGGGGGCGAGCGUUGUCCGGAAUGAUUGGGCGUAAAGGGCGCGUAGGCGGCCUUGCAAGUCAGUAGUGGAAGUCCAUUUUUCAAGGAUGGAAGUGCAUCUGAAACUGGUACACUUGAGUGCUGGAGGGGAAAGCGGAAUUCCUAGUGUAGCGGUAAAAUGCGUAGAUAUUAGGAGGAACACCGGUGGCGAAGGCGGCUAUCUGGACAGUAACUGACGCUGAGGCGCGAAAGCACGGGGAGCAAACAGGAUUAGAUACCCUGGUAGUCCGUGCCGUAAACGAUGAAUACUAGGUGUAGGGGGUAUCGACUCCCUCUGUGCCGCAGUUAACACAUUAAGUAUUCCACCUGGGGAGUACGGCCGCAAGGUUGAAACUCAAAUGAAUUGACGGGG
RNAcentral lists this ribosomal RNA (397 nucleotides) under uncultured bacterium. RNAcentral describes it as "partial 16S ribosomal RNA". It matches the Rfam family "Bacterial small subunit ribosomal RNA", at positions 523 to 918 of the family's 1533-position model. The record is from RNAcentral.